GACAGUGUGGUGUAGUGGUUUGAGCGAUAGCCUAUGACUCUGAGAGACCAGGGUUCAAAUCCCAGCUUGGCCA
Non-coding RNA from Phrynosoma platyrhinos (Desert horned lizard), 73 nucleotides. The record is from the annotation of a GenBank genome assembly. Lineage: Eukaryota; Metazoa; Chordata; Lepidosauria; Squamata; Phrynosomatidae.